Melanotaenia boesemani (Boeseman's rainbowfish) is the source of this 396-nucleotide long non-coding RNA. RefSeq lists it as uncharacterized. NCBI's taxonomy places the organism in Eukaryota, Metazoa, Chordata, Actinopteri, Atheriniformes, Melanotaeniidae. The transcript is spliced from 3 exons. The record is from RefSeq and is a predicted model, not a curated record.
UACAUUAGCAACAAGUAAUGUAUAGGCGAAUCUUUGUUUACAUCUUUUUGCGCAUGCGCGUGUGGUUGGGUGGCAAGAAGACCUGUUGAGAUGGCGGAACCUGCUAGCAUAAACAAGAAAGUAAGCGGGCGAAAUCCAAAUUAUAUAAGUACGCUAAGCUCCGAAGACCAGAGGAGGUUUAGAGAGAAACUAAAAAUUUGUGUUGCAGACAAAAUCGAACAAAUACAAAGCCCAUAUGAAGUCUGGGAUGACGAAAAAUACUGGUCUGACUCACCUGCAUCUUGGCCACAGAUGUGCUGGGGAGAUAUUUAUUCUUAUUUAGUUGAAAGCCCUGGACCCUUCACCCACGAGAAGUUAAAAGCUUUUAAAAGCCUCGAAGCUUAUAACUAUUUUGUU